This 253-nucleotide ribosomal RNA is filed under the name uncultured bacterium. RNAcentral describes it as "partial 16S ribosomal RNA". It matches the Rfam family "Bacterial small subunit ribosomal RNA", at positions 524 to 776 of the family's 1533-position model. The record is from RNAcentral.
GACGAACCUUGCUAACGUUAUUCGGAAUUACUGGGCUUAAAGGGUGCGUAGGCGGUGCAGAAAGUCGGGUGUGAAAUCCCCCAGCUCAACUGGGGAACUGCGCCCGAAACUGCUGUGCUAGAGGAAGAUAGAGGUACGCGGAACUUAGGGUGGAGCGGUGAAAUGCGUAGAUAUCUGGAGGAACACCGGUGGCGAAGGCGGCAUCCUGGACCGACACUGACACUGAGGAGCGAAAGCCAGGGGAGCAAACGGG